AAAUGAUAAAGGCAAACUUGUCGAAAGGCAAGGACGCAAAGCCAUGGGUCUAAGGUUUGUGUAACUAUGAUUGCCAGGCUGCCAUU
Molecule: non-coding RNA, 86 nt
Filed under: Thermotalea metallivorans
Lineage: Bacteria; Bacillati; Bacillota; Clostridia; Peptostreptococcales; Thermotaleaceae
Description: c-di-GMP sequence
Rfam family: c-di-GMP-I riboswitch aptamer
About the family: GEMM was predicted in a large-scale screen for bacterial structured RNA regulatory elements. Genes associated with GEMM are involved in a diverse array of functions, including chemotaxis regulation, signal transduction, secretion and chitin.
Source: Rfam by way of RNAcentral